CGGGUACGCGACGUAGUCUCCGCAGUGAGCGUCGCGACGCCUCCGCGGAGAGUGUUGCAUGGAUUGCACGAUCGGUGGUCGCCGGUGCACGAGGCGUCCCGCUCUCGUCGCGAAUUACGCCGACGGUGUGCAGUGUCGGAGGGGUUGUUUCGCUUCUAUCGAGCCACCGGCCACCACGACGGGAAGAAGGGCGGCGGGUCGGUGUCCCGCACCAUAGAGGCUGCAGCUGCGUUUCGAUCCGCCCGGAAGAGCUCUCCGGAUGACCCAGAACGGACCCCGCGCCGGGUGCAACCAGAUAUCAGACGCAGAAACUGAAGAAAGUGUAAGACGCGCAGUAUCGCUUGGUCAUUGCGGAAUUAUCUUUGGUCAUAAAAGGAGUCUGGUGGAUAAACCGUGAAAGUGCCAAUACCUCGCAAAUAAAAGUACGUCAGCCAUACGCGACGUUAUACAGAAAAGGAUGGGUUAGCGCGCGUCGAACGGUAAAAUCGGAACAAAAUUGAACGAGCAUCUUCUUGGAAGAAUAUGAGGUCGUGUGAGUGCCUACUCGGUCGAGGAGAAUCAAUUUCCCUUCCGGUCAUCGGGUCGCGGUGAAAUGACCAAGUUGCCGAGAUUAAUCGUGUCUUCAUGAGAGCGCCGAUCUCCCGUUAGUCGCUUGAUGAGCGAACAACAAAUGACCCAGCUCGAUCCAUGAACAGGCGCAAGAAACACGCCAGCGUGAGAAGGCAAGGCAUAUCCGGCGAAAUUCUCUUCGGGUCAAUCCAGAAGACGAGGACGGAGACGAGCAGAUAGACCGAUCCAGCUAAUUUCGAACUCUUCGCAUCAGUUUUCCUGAAAGAUCAUUUAACAGAUUAGCCUUACUCGACAAGAGCAGCGGGCACGUUGCUAAGAUAACAUUCCCCGUAACAUUCCAUAAAAUUUCAACGUGCGAAAAAUUUCGUCGCGGUGCCAAAAGCCCGGAUUAAGGUGACAGGGCAUAAGUUGCGAGUACGAAGUCCGGGGAAACGGUGAGAUCCGGAGAGGUAGCAUCAGCUAACCCCUCGGCGACUUUCUCUAUUUGACCGGCGAUUCUCGUCACUCUUGCUCUCUCUCCCUCGGAUUCUCAUUCGAGCGUCGCCACUUUGCCAUUCCGCGUCCCCACCACGUCGCGAGCAUAAAAAUAUAACGACUUGGGACGCGUUACGUUCGCGGCUUACGGGGUGAGGGUGCGAACAGAACCCCGCGAUAGCGAGGGGAUCGUCCGGUAUAAUCUCGUAAAACCCGCGGGAGAGUCCACGCGAGAAACCGACGAAGACGACAACGACGACGACGUUUGGAAUUGCAACCCCAAUAGCCAGGAAAGUGCGGUGCCAUCGUCUCUCUCGAUACAGAUAAAGCGAUCUCGGAGCAUCGCGAAGGUGAUUGCAAUUUACACA
This is a long non-coding RNA of Ooceraea biroi (clonal raider ant), 1412 nucleotides long. RefSeq lists it as uncharacterized. NCBI's taxonomy places the organism in Eukaryota, Metazoa, Arthropoda, Insecta, Hymenoptera, Formicidae. The record is from RefSeq and is a predicted model, not a curated record.